Molecule: small RNA, 90 nt
Filed under: Flavobacterium degerlachei
Lineage: Bacteria; Pseudomonadati; Bacteroidota; Flavobacteriia; Flavobacteriales; Flavobacteriaceae
Description: Flavo-1 RNA
Rfam family: Flavo-1 RNA
Source: RNAcentral
AUGUAGCCCCGAUAGCAGUGAAAAUCCUUUAUUAUCCUCUACCGUUUAGGUAGAGGAUAAAAAAGAUUGCAACGAAUAGCGGGAAUAGCU